Molecule: ribosomal RNA, 464 nt
Filed under: uncultured bacterium
Lineage: Bacteria
Description: partial 16S ribosomal RNA
Rfam family: Bacterial small subunit ribosomal RNA
Source: RNAcentral
CUACGGGAUGCUCCAGUGAGGAAUUUUGCGCAAUGGGGGAAACCCUGACGCAGCAACGCCGCGUGAGCGAAGAAGGCCUUCGGGUCGUAAAGCUCUGUCAAGUGGGAAAAAAAUUCUUUGAUGAACAGUCAAAGGACUUGAUGGUACCACUGGAGGAAGCACCGGCUAACUCCGUGCCAGCAGCCGCGGUAAUACGGAGGGUGCAAGCGUUGUUCGGAAUUACUGGGCGUAAAGAGCGUGUAGGCGGUUUGACAAGUCAGAUGUGAAAGCCCCGGGCUCAACCCGGGAAGUGCAUUUGAAACUGUUUCACUAGAGUAUGGGAGAGGAGAUUGGAAUUCCUGGUGUAGAGGUGAAAUUCGUAGAUAUCAGGAGGAACACCCGUGGCGAAGGCGAUUCUCUGGACCAAUACUGACGCUGAGACGCGAAAGCGUGGGGAGCAAACAGGAUUAGAUACCCCUGUAGUC